Molecule: ribosomal RNA, 400 nt
Filed under: phytoplankton environmental sample
Lineage: Eukaryota
Description: partial small subunit ribosomal RNA
Rfam family: Eukaryotic small subunit ribosomal RNA
Source: RNAcentral
AGCUCCAAUAGCGUAUAUUAAAGCUGUUGCAGUUAAAAAGCUCGUAGUCGGAUUUCGGGCGGCGGCCAAUGGUUCGGUUCCGUGCCGAUACUGCUGGUCGCGGCCUCCACGCCGGUCGUCCUUCGGUGCUCUUAACUGAGUGCCUUAGGUAGCCGGAGCGUUUACUUUGAAAAAAUUAGAGUGUUCAAGGCAGGCCUCGAGCCUGAAUGAUGGUGCAUGGAAUAAUGGAAUAGGACCUCGGUUCUAUUUUGUUGGUCUUCGGAACUGGAGGUAAUGAUUAAUAGGGACGGACGGGGGCAUUCGUAUUGCGGCGUUAGAGGUGAAAUUCUUGGAUCGUCGCAAGACGGACUACUGCGAAAGCAUUUGCCAAGAAUGUUUUCAUUGAUCAAGAACGAAAGUA